CCGAAUAUAGCUCAGCGGUAGAGCGGGAGACUGUAGUUAAUUGAUAUCUCUAGGUCCCUGGUUCAAAUCCGGGUGUUCGGA
Molecule: transfer RNA, 81 nt
Filed under: Smittium mucronatum
Lineage: Eukaryota; Fungi; Kickxellomycota; Harpellomycetes; Harpellales; Legeriomycetaceae
Rfam family: tRNA
About the family: Transfer RNA (tRNA) molecules are approximately 80 nucleotides in length.
Source: Rfam by way of RNAcentral